Molecule: ribosomal RNA, 475 nt
Filed under: uncultured microorganism
Description: bacterial SSU rRNA
Rfam family: Bacterial small subunit ribosomal RNA
Source: RNAcentral
GAGUUUGAUCGUGGCUCAGGACGAACGCUGGCGGCGUGCCUAAUACAUGCAAGUCGAGCGGAUCUUCAUUAGCUUGCUUUUGAAGAUCAGCGGCGGACGGGUGAGUAACACGUGGGCAACCUGCCUGUAAGACUGGGAUAACUUCGGGAAACCGGAGCUAAUACCGGAUAAUCCUUUUCCUCUCAUGAGGAAAAGCUGAAAGACGGUUUCGGCUGUCACUUACAGAUGGGCCCGCGGCGCAUUAGCUAGUUGGUGAGGUAACGGCUCACCAAGGCGACGAUGCGUAGCCGACCUGAGAGGGUGAUCGGCCACACUGGGACUGAGACACGGCCCAGACUCCUACGGGAGGCAGCAGUAGGGAAUCUUCCGCAAUGGACGAAAGUCUGACGGAGCAACGCCGCGUGAGCGAUGAAGGCCUCGGUCGUAAGACUCUGUUGUCAGGGAAGAACGAAGUAUCGGAGUAACUGCCGGUACC